CAUACAAGCUGGCUUGCCUGCGAUGGCAUCGGCUGGUUAUGCCUGACACACCGAGGUGCUUGCAUCGCAGGCAAGCCAGCUCCCACA
RNAcentral lists this unclassified non-coding RNA (87 nucleotides) under Pseudomonas antarctica. The record is from RNAcentral. Lineage: Bacteria; Pseudomonadati; Pseudomonadota; Gammaproteobacteria; Pseudomonadales; Pseudomonadaceae.